Molecule: microRNA, 20 nt
Filed under: Homo sapiens (human)
Lineage: Eukaryota; Metazoa; Chordata; Mammalia; Primates; Hominidae
Description: hsa-miR-6822-5p
Source: miRBase by way of RNAcentral
CAGGGAACCAGUUGGGGCUU